RNAcentral lists this ribosomal RNA (253 nucleotides) under uncultured bacterium. RNAcentral describes it as "partial 16S ribosomal RNA". It matches the Rfam family "Bacterial small subunit ribosomal RNA", at positions 524 to 776 of the family's 1533-position model. The record is from RNAcentral.
GACGAACCGUGCGAACGUUGUUCGGAAUCACUGGGCUUAAAGGGCGCGUAGGCGGGCAAUCAAGUCUGAGGUGAAGUCCUCCAGCUUAACUGGAGAAGUGCCCUGGAUACUGAUUGCCUCGAGGAUGGUAGGGGCAUCUGGAACUAGCGGUGGAGCGGUGAAAUGCGUUGAUAUCGCUAGGAACUCCGGUGGCGAAGGCGAGGUGCUGGACCAUUUCUGACGCUGAGGCGCGAAAGCCAGGGGAGCGAACGGG